AUAUUUACCUGGCAGGGGAGAUACUGUGAUCACAAAGGUGGUUUUCCCAGGGCGAGGCUUAUCCAAUGCACUCUGGAUUGGCUGACCCCUGUGAUUUCCCCAAAUGUGGGGGACUCCACUGCACAAUUUGUGGUAGUGGAGGACUGCGUUUGUGCUCUCCCCUG
Molecule: small nuclear RNA, 164 nt
Organism: Erinaceus europaeus (western European hedgehog)
Lineage: Eukaryota; Metazoa; Chordata; Mammalia; Eulipotyphla; Erinaceidae
Gene: U1
Rfam family: U1 spliceosomal RNA
About the family: U1 is a small nuclear RNA (snRNA) component of the spliceosome (involved in pre-mRNA splicing). Its 5' end forms complementary base pairs with the 5' splice junction, thus defining the 5' donor site of an intron.
Source: Ensembl